Long non-coding RNA from Alligator sinensis (Chinese alligator), 607 nucleotides. RefSeq lists it as uncharacterized. Lineage: Eukaryota; Metazoa; Chordata; Crocodylia; Alligatoridae. The transcript is spliced from 3 exons. The record is from RefSeq and is a predicted model, not a curated record.
CAUUUGGUCAGAGCCAAAGAUCAUAAACAGGCUGGAAAGUAGGAAGAAUAAGCCUGUUUAUGUCAAGAUUGCAAAAGGCAUGCAGGCGCAAGGGCACAAUUGUGACUGGACCCAGGCCUGGUGCAAGAUCAAGUCCCUGAGAUCAGUAUUUCACAGAGCCAAAGAUGUGAACUCUCAUUCUGAGGCAGGUCACACAAUUGCCCCCUUCGAUGACAAACUGUCCAUUAUUCUCUCCGAGGAUGCGGAUGACAACCCAGGUAUGGAGACUUUCAGCAUUGGUGUUGGGCAGCAGCCCCUCCUGAGAGUGAAACCAGGAGCAUGUCUCAGCUGUACAAAGACUGCUCCCUGAUGACCAUGAGUGGCAGGAAGAACUGUUGGUCAACAUUCACUUAGUGCCGCUUAGCCCCUCCGUUCCAAAGACAAGCAAAGAUGAUGAAGCGGAGCAGGUGGAGGGUCAGGAAGAAACCCAUGUGGCUGAUACAUCAUCUACUGUUACUGAGACCCAAGAACAUGCUGGACCUGCUAGCACGUGCAGUGGCAGCCACAGACCUGUUUCUGAAGCGAGUACUUCCACUUCAACCUAUGGCCAUCCAGAACAGUGCCCCAC